UACGGAGGGAGCUAGCGUUAUUCGGAAUUACUGGGCGUAAAGCGCACGUAGGCGGCUUUGUAAGUUAGAGGUGAAAGCCUGGAGCUCAACUCCAGAAUUGCCUUUAAGACUGCAUCGCUAGAAUUGUGGAGAGGUAAGUGGAAUUCCGAGUGUAGAGGUGAAAUUCGUAGAUAUUCGGAAGAACACCAGUGGCGAAGGCGACUUACUGGACACAUAUUGACGCUGAGGUGCGAAAGCGUGGGGAGCAAACAGG
Molecule: ribosomal RNA, 253 nt
Filed under: uncultured bacterium
Lineage: Bacteria
Description: partial 16S ribosomal RNA
Rfam family: Bacterial small subunit ribosomal RNA
Source: RNAcentral